This 28-nucleotide small RNA is filed under the name Bombyx mori (domestic silkworm). RNAcentral describes it as "ovarian small RNA-14456". The record is from RNAcentral. Lineage: Eukaryota; Metazoa; Arthropoda; Insecta; Lepidoptera; Bombycidae.
CGGAGCUCGAUGCCGCGCAUGACUCGAA